Long non-coding RNA from Sycon ciliatum, 3281 nucleotides. RefSeq lists it as uncharacterized. NCBI's taxonomy places the organism in Eukaryota, Metazoa, Porifera, Calcarea, Leucosolenida, Sycettidae. The record is from RefSeq and is a predicted model, not a curated record. The transcript has 7 exons.
UCUAUGACAUGCACUGCCUGACGCGAAUGGAGAAGUAACGUCCCUAUCCCUAGGCUACAUUACAAGGUGCGGUAGAGAACACAAACAUUUUACUUCCCUAGACUAGAGACAGUAGAAAUUUAGUGUUCGGAAGAGGAACUCACAGAACACUCUUUUCUUCGCUUCAGCCAUGGCUGCCAGUUCUGUGGUACUAUUUCCGACAGCCAUCUGUCUCCGUGCAAAUCAAGAAGGAAGAGGAAAGGUCGAGAUCAGAAUUGUCGUCCUCCGAAGACUUUUCAGUGCUGUACUGAAUGAAAGCAGAAGUCAGAAACGAGAACAGUCCAGCUCUGUUUCAAUCUCUUUCACCAAGCCGCACAACCUCGGCACAAGGCCAAGAUAACCUGCUUGACCGGACACGAGCUGCAUGCACCACCGUUUGUUCCCCAAAGGCUGCAAAAUACAUCGCAGACUCGGUCCGGAAACAGCCGGUUGCCCUGCUCUGCUGCAGAGCGCAUUGUCUCGGCUGCGGUCGCUGCUGCAAGUCAUCCCGUGGUUUUGACCUGCAUAGCUGUGCUAAUUUCCUGUCCAGGGAGUAGAGCGGCGUUUCUGGAUCAAAUGCUGAACUCAGUGCUGUCGACCCCUGCACAGGGGACACGUGACCAUUUGAUGGCAGUGUUACCAAGGACCAAGGUUCCCAGUACUCAUUUGCCGAAAUUGGUUGGAAAAUUAACUCCAAUUUGACUUCAAGACUAAAUUAUGCGUCUACUUUAUAAAAUAUAUGGCAAGGGCAUCAACAGGCUGUAAGUACAUCACAUAUUCAUCACGGAACAAUGGGUGGCCCGUAGCUGUUAUAUUCCUUUCAUGAGCAAAAGAAGCACGGAUACCACUGUAAAUGUUGACGAGGCCUUUGAACCAUCACCCUUCAAAGUCGGUACUAGUACAUUGAUGAUGAGAGUGGCAGCAAACAGGUCCUUAUAUCUAGCUUGCUAGCCGAGCAAAGCCGUGACAAAAUGGCAUCUAAGAGAGCGCAAGUCUCGCCAAAUGCACAGGGAAAUUCCAUGGCUAACCCAUCUAUUUGGAGCGGAAAAAGUGCAGUAUUCCAAAAUGCUCGAAAUUAUUUAUUGCACCCAGAAAUGUUCGUGGUUAUUGCCACCAAUUCGUUUUGCAAACCAGGUUGCCUGGACUGCAAACAGCCUCUUCUACACUGGCAACGUACAGAAGUCACCGUCAAGCGAGUCUGUCAUGUGUUCAGGUGUACAAAAACAUCUAGCAGUACGUAGUCACGCGAGGCCAGGUCAGUGGGAACCUACCAAAAAGUCCUGUGUGCACGAGUUGUAAGUCUUAUGAGAGUACGUCGAAUCCAUACACAUUUGUAUGUGCGCUUGUGGGAGGAAAAUCCGUGCGACGAAAAAGGACCGUGCUAAGCAGGUGUACAUUUUACCCGGAUACAUACUAAGCCUGGGCAAAACACAUGAAGCAUUAUUUGAACAAUCUCAAAGUAAUACACUGUCUUUCUGAAGACCAAAUUAGGCGCCGCGAUAAAUACACGGAAAAAUUGCUUCUAAAGCCUUUAGCCAUAGCCCAUAAACAUGACGACCAUGCUAUGGUCAUGUUCAUCAUUUGACGAUUUUUGUUGUGUGCAGCACCUCAACAUGUUCCAAUCCUGGGUUGUUCACUGAGUAUGCUAAUGUCAUGUUCUGUUAUCUGUGUUUGUGUGCAAAUUUAUUGCUUCCUUUCAUUGGAGAGAACGUGUUAUGACUUUGGUCAUGGAUCCAGUGAUGAGGCUGCGUUGGUCAUACAUCCAGUGAUGAGGCUACAUCGGCUACACAUCCAGUAUUGAGGCUACAUCUCUCACAGACCCAGUGUUGAGGCUACAUCGGUCACAUAUCCAGUGAUGAGGCUACAUCGGUCACAUAUCCAGUGAUGAGGCUACAUCGGUCACAUAUCCAGUGAUGAGGCCACAUCAGUCACACAUCCAGUGAUGAGGCUACAUCGGUCACAUAUCCAGUGAUGAGGCUGCAUCGGUCACACAUCCAGUGAUGACGCUACAUCGGUCGCACAUCCAGUGAUGAGGCUACAUCGGUCACACACACAGGGAUGAGGCUAAAUUGGAAGCAAAUCCAGUGCAACGGCUAUGUCGAAAAACAAUAAUGAAGCUGUUGCUCUGUGUGUGGGUCAGUGGGAUGGGGCGUACUGGAAGAAUCGUGCUGAAGACACUGACAACGAAGGGUUUCAUGGUGGUAAUCCCAGGGCAGUUGCAUCACAGAGUACUGCUGGAGGUGGUAAUCCCAGGGCAGUUGCAUCACAGAGUACUGCUCGAGGCGCAUGCUGGUAUUAUGUCACGUAACGUCUGUCCGCUGGAUUGCACAUUGCUGAGCAUGCAUUGGACUGGAGAUGUCUGUCAACUGGAUUGCACAUUGCUGAGCAUGCAUUGGACUGGAGAUGUCUGUCAACUGGAUUGCACAUUGCUGAGCAUGCAUUGGACUGGUUACCUAUCAACCAGGGAAAAUUGCAUCGCUGAGAGGAUAAAAACGGUCACUAUGCAGUGUCCACCGGAAUGUUGCAAGCCAAAUCGUUCUCGCUUUGAUCUAGUUCUGGACCAUGUGUUGAUAAUCCAAAUAGGGAUAUCAAACACUACAGCAGCUUUGUCUUAUUAUGCUUGUUACCUGCCAGUAUUAGCAUCAUAUUGUGUUCUGGCUAGCUGCUUGAUACCAGCAUGUAUAGCAUGUAUAGCAGCUACAUGCAAUAUCCUGCCUAGCUGCCUGAUACCUGUAUGUACCUAUAUACAAUAUCCUGGCUAGCUGCUUGAUACCAGCAUGUAGCUACAUACAAUAUUCUGGCUGUAGUUUGAUAACAGCAAGUAUUAUAGCUAGUAUGCUGGCGUAUUGUGCCAAAUGGAAUUGAACAAAACAUUCGUGCACGGCGUCUGUUCCCCUAGUAGUGUUGUUCUUGUUCUGCACACUACGUUGCAGGCGCCGCCGCAUUGUUACGUGUAGAAAUUCACAUGCAACACUAGUUCAUCCUGAAAUGCCAGCUUAUGAUUAUCAAAGCCAAGUUAGCCCAUGCGGGCACAUGCGCCGUGAUGGUCUCAUGAGGCAUGACAUUAAUUAUUAUUUUGCGCUGAGUGUCGUCUGUUAUUUUCAUUUUUGCACUGCUGCUACUGUUGCCUGUAUACGCGCUGCAGUGGAUAGUUGAGUGCAGUUUGGUGUUUUUUGUCCUGUGAACAAGAAGUGCUUUUCCUUGUCAGGCUUGUAUUUUCUCUUCCUCCCUCCCUUUUGCAAUACCUUUCUGUAAUUAUCGUA